This 425-nucleotide ribosomal RNA is filed under the name Leptodactylus rhodomystax group sp. ABGD cluster 78. RNAcentral describes it as "partial large subunit ribosomal RNA". It matches the Rfam family "Bacterial large subunit ribosomal RNA", at positions 1834 to 2457 of the family's 2925-position model. The record is from RNAcentral. Lineage: Eukaryota; Metazoa; Chordata; Amphibia; Anura; Leptodactylidae.
CUUGCAUAAACAUAAGAGGUCCAGCCUGCCCAGUGACUUUGUUCAACGGCCGCGGUAUCCUAACCGUGCGAAGGUAGCGUAAUCACUUGUUCUUUAAAUGAGGACUAGUAUGAAUGGCACCACGAAGGUUACACUGUCUCCUUUAUCUAAUCAGUGAAACUAAUCUUCCCGUGAAGAAGCGGGAAUAAAAAUAUAAGACGAGAAGACCCUAUGGAGCUUUAAACACACUAAUAAUUGCCUUACCCACGCCACUUCCAGAAAAACAACCAAAAUUCAGGCAUUAUAAUUACAAGUUUUAGGUUGGGGUGACCACGGAGCAUAACAAAACCUCCGUAAUGGACGGGAAUUUCCCCCUAAACCAAGGGCCACAGCCCCAAGAAUCAAUAAAUUGACAUCUAUUGACCCAAUACAUUUGAUCAAUGAAC